This is an unclassified non-coding RNA of Pan paniscus (pygmy chimpanzee), 293 nucleotides long. It matches the Rfam family "Metazoan signal recognition particle RNA". From Rfam's summary of the family: The signal recognition particle (SRP) is a universally conserved ribonucleoprotein. It is involved in the co-translational targeting of proteins to membranes. The eukaryotic SRP consists of a 300-nucleotide 7S RNA and six proteins: SRPs 72, 68, 54, 19, 14, and 9. Lineage: Eukaryota; Metazoa; Chordata; Mammalia; Primates; Hominidae. The record is from Ensembl.
UCCUGGUACAGUGGUGCAUGCCUGCAGUGCAAGCUACUCAAGAGGCAAACUGGGGAGGAUUGCUUGAGGCCAGAAAUUCUGGGCUGUAGUGCGCUGUACUGAUCAGUUGUCUGCAGUUAGUUCAGCACUAAUAUGGUGACCUUUUGGGAGUGGAAGCCACCAGGUUGUCUAAGGGGGGUGAACUGGCCGAGGUCCAAAAUGGAACAGGUAAAAACUCCCACGCUAGGCUGGGCGUGGUGGCUCACACCUAUAAUUCUAGCACUUCGGGAGGCCGAGGCAGGCGGAUCACUUGA